RNAcentral lists this ribosomal RNA (744 nucleotides) under Raphidascaris longispicula. RNAcentral describes it as "eukaryotic LSU rRNA". It matches the Rfam family "Eukaryotic large subunit ribosomal RNA", at positions 69 to 647 of the family's 3401-position model. The record is from RNAcentral. Lineage: Eukaryota; Metazoa; Nematoda; Chromadorea; Rhabditida; Raphidascarididae. RNAcentral also lists the same sequence under 1 other name.
CGAGGAUUCCCCUAGUAACGGCGAGUGAACGGGGAAAAGCCCAGCGCUGAAUCCAUCGGCCACUGGUCGCUUGGAGCUGUAGCGUAUAGGUGCGGCUGUCUGGCCGUUCCGCUUACCCAAAGUCCCCUUGAGCGGGGCUAUUGUCCAUAGAAGGUGCUAGACCUGUACGGGUGGCGGGACAGUCGGUUGGUUGCUCCUUGGAGUCGGGUUGCCUGGGAUCGCAGCCCAAAGUUGGUGGUAGACCUCAUCUAAGGCUAAAUAUGGCCACGAAACCGAUAGCAAACAAGUACCGUGAGGGAAAGUUGCAAAGAACUUUGAAGAGAGAGUUCAAGAGGGCGUGAAACCGCUGAGAUUGAAACGGAUAGAGUUGACGAAACUCGGCUGCAUUCAUUCGGUCGGCUUAGCGGCCCUGCGGCACUCGCUUCCUCGAUGAGGGCGGUGCCGUGGGUAGCUGUUGGGUGCUUGACCGGUGUAUUUGCGGCCGGUAUGCGCUGAGGGCCUUGCGGUCGCGUGUUGACAAGUGUGUAGUGGACCACUCCUUCCGGGCGUGGAACCCUCCUCGCUUUGAGGCAUGUCGGCCGUGAGGUUUCGAACGUAAUCGUGUCUCCGCUAUGGUGCACCGGCCUUGCUGAGCUUCUGUGGCUUCGGGACGUCGCAUGCGACGCCUUGUUGUCGGCAGUUGCGUGGCGGGGUGCGGGUGCGUCGAGGCGCGCAUCUCGGUGUGAACGUUGACCACCUAUCCGA